RNAcentral lists this long non-coding RNA (1592 nucleotides) under Triticum aestivum (bread wheat). RNAcentral's name for it is "long non-coding RNA (TAES_LNC014592)". The record is from RNAcentral. Lineage: Eukaryota; Viridiplantae; Streptophyta; Magnoliopsida; Poales; Poaceae.
GAGUAGUAGUAUCAUCGUACUGCAGGGUGCGCUUGCGUGUGGAUUACUUACUUUGUUAAUUUAUUAUUACUGGAUUGUACUGCGUGGUGUUAGUUAAAUUAUUACCUUCAGGUGUGUGCCUCGAUCUCUCUUAAUCAGUAGUAGUCCGCAGGUUGGUGCGGUGACAAUAAUAAUAAGACACGACCUACUACUUGUGCAUGUUGUGACGCAUGCAUGUGUACUGGUCAUUCAUGCUGUAUGUUGCAGUGAGUCUCUCUCGUCUCAGACCUUGCCUGAUUCGUGUCAUCCAUCCAUCGAUUCAUCAAUAGACUGCAAUAUGACAGUAUAUUAAUUAAUUAGCUUGGCUGUCUCUUUCUACUUAUACUACUGUUUGCUGGCUCGACCUACUAGUAGUGCCUACUAGAAGUCGGCCUACCAAAAGCGUAAAGCGCAAUGGUUGAUCAAGCAAACAGUGGAAUCUAGAACACCAGAGCUUAGCACAAUAAAGACAAGAUUUAUUUCACGACACACCCCGCACUGAAACAAGCUCCAAGGAAGCGGGCCUCUACUGUCUCAAAGUGCCUGAAAAUUCACAAUCGGAGCAAGAUUUAAACGGUUUCUUGGAGCAACCCAAAGGCAGCUCUUAGAAAUGUGGGUGUAGGUUUACCGACACGAGAAGCUUGCCACUAGAAACAAUCAUCUCCCACCUGACCUUAUCGGGUUGCAACUGCAAUGCGAUACAAAGACAUCAAAGAGAGUCUUCGACAAAAAAUGCCAUGAACAAAGAACAGUGAGAAAGUUACACAGAGACAUAGAUCAUGUUAAGAGUCUGGUCAACUGUGACUUCUUUACCUCCUUGUCAACAGAGGCAUGCUCCUUAGAUCCAUAAACAACUUCAUAAUCACUGCCAAACAAAAAUAAAUAGUAGCACCAACACCGGCUUAAAAUUUUACACGCAAAAAAAGAAACACCGGCUUAAAAUUAGCGGGCAGCAGAAAGAGGACAUUUGCAGAACAACACUGCAAUUUAUCUGUUACAUUAAUUUCUGAUGAUACAUAGUAUAUAGCGUCUCAAUCCUCAAACGGGUGACACCGUGAAGGCACUGCUUGAUUUCAGUAAUUCAAGGAUUUCUCUGUAGGGUUUGUGUUGGUCAAAAUAGCCACAACAACAAAUGCACACAAGUUUUCAGUAAAUUUUUGGCAUCGACCAUUUAGGUAUCCCUCGUUUCACUUGCUUGUCCGGCGUGGAGAGCUGGCUAUGAGGAUUGCAUUGGGUAUUCAGAAACGAGCUAACAUUGAUGAUAUGCAUGGAAAUUGGACCAGGAUGGUCACUAACCCCUGUCUCUCUCACCCCUGUCUCUGGGAUGGGAGAUGGUGGUGGCUUGUUGUACAUGUGUUACAGAUAUUUAAAUACUGUACAAGAUAGUACGAGGCUCUCCUGCUGCCCUUUGCCACUCAAAAAAAAAGGAUGGUCGCUAGACAGCUGAGAUCGUAGUGGGAGCAGCAGCUGCUUGUAGAGCUAUUUGGCUCAAUAAGAAUGAAGUGACGUCCGAUCGCCAAGUCAUUAACCAUCGCGAUCUCAAUCUCCCGUGCCAUCUUUUCAGCUUUUUUUGC